CCUACGGGUGGCAGCAGUGGGGAAUAUUGCGCAAUGGGCGAAAGCCUGACGCAGCGACACCGCGUGAGUGAAGAAGUCUUUCGGGAUGUAAAGCUCUGUCAAGAAGGAAGAUAAUGACGGUACUUCUAAAGGAAGCCCCGGCUAACUACGUGCCAGCAGCCGCGGUAAUACGUAGGGGGCAAGCGUUAUCCGGAUUUAUUGGGCAUAAAGCGCGUGCAGGUUGUAUUUUAAGUCAAGUGUAAAACGCUUCAGCUCAACUGAAGUUUGCAUUUGAAACUGAAAUACUAGAGACUAGUAGAGGAAAGCGGAACUUACGGUGUAGCGGUGAAAUGCGUAGAUAUCGUAAGGAACAUCAGUUGCGAAGGCGGCUUUCUGGCCUAGAUCUGACACUCAAGCGCGAAAGCGUGGGGAGCAAACAGGAUUAGAUACCCCUGUAGUC
This 439-nucleotide ribosomal RNA is filed under the name uncultured bacterium. Its description in RNAcentral is "bacterial SSU rRNA". It matches the Rfam family "Bacterial small subunit ribosomal RNA", at positions 338 to 795 of the family's 1533-position model. The record is from RNAcentral.